GAGAAUCAGGUCUCCAAAAGAGUGUUUGCCCAGCAGGUUGUCACUAAGGUUAUUUAUCUGCAGUUGCUUCUGCAAUAGAGUCACUAGAAGUUUAGAAAAGUAACUGUUAAAUGAAAUUCCAGCUCCCAUGUUCCUUUACCUCUUAGCACUACCACAAAAAAAAAUAUAAUGGUGCAACACAAAGCUUGUGGAUGUGCAAGAAAUAUAAUGUACUCAAGUAACCUAUGUUUUUUCCAGGAUGUGGUCCACUUUCUCAUUAACAAGCCAUCAAAUGUGUAAUCUAAAUGAAAUAGAGUGUAUUAAUGCUUUUAAAUAACUCACUAAUUACAAGACUUGAUUUCUGUUAUAAUGUUCUGGAAAUGUCUAAUUUAUACUCAGUACCACACUUGAGAACAACUCCAGCUAGAGAUAGAUUUCAAUGACUUCUAUAUGAAAGUAGAAAACUAUAGUUUAGGAUUUUUUGUGGAAUAAAAAAAUUAUGUAAAAACAAAAUCAAAUCUAAAACCUCAUAUAAUUUUACUGCAAUAUUUAUUAUCUUAUACAUGCAAAAAAAUGUUUAAAACUCCAAGCAACUCCUUCCUAUUCUUCUAGUACAGGUCACAGGUCUUCUGUGUUUCGUUGAAUCAAGUAUCUGUUGACAAGCUUAAAAUAGAUUUUUUUGUAAAGGAAGUGCACAGUCUUCAGCAGAAGGAUACACAAGGGGUGUCUAACUCCUUUCACCCAAGAUAUAGUUCUGACUCUAUUAGGCUUGUAUUUUGAAAACCAAGCAACUCCUUGUGGCUAACUUUAACAGCCAGGCGACAGCAUUUAUUCUAGCAGGAAAAAAAAUAGUAUUCUAGCCAGAAAAUCAGUAUAUUCUCUGCGAGUUGAAAGAACAGAAAUGUAGGUGAAAAUCAGAUUAAUACAUGUUGCAACAAAGUCAUGUUUAUAUUUUGUAUUAUCAUUCAAAUAUAUAUUAUUAGAAUAUAUUGAUAUUAGCAUAUAUAUUUCCUUUGCAGUAUACACUUUUUAAUUUGUUCUGUUUCCUCUGUGCUUUUUGCCUUAUAUUUUUUUCUGUCCUAUUUCCUUUCCAAGAAAUACUAUUUACUGCUUAUAUUCUUUUAUCAUUGAGGACAAGUUCAUAUUUUACAGUAAAACUGUUGACAUCUAAAUUUCAAGAUCUUCUGCUCUCUUUUGGUAGGGGGAAGGAACAAACACAGCUAAUUGCUUACCCAAAAAAAAAAUAAAUCCCCCUUUUUUGAUUUUUUGAAGGUUCUAUCAGUUCACAAGCAUCUGUGGAAUAAUUUUUCCUAGAAGAAUUUUCAUUGAGUUUUUCAAGCUACACCCAGCAGCAAAUAGCAAAAUGCAUGUCUGGAAUUUUGUCAUGCCAAUCUGUUGGGCAUGACAAAAUUUUGUGUGAGCUUCCGGGCUAUUCUGCAUUCAGUCUGAUCUUACAGAUGUCUGAUCCCAGUACAAGCUUCCCAGAUUAACCUACAUAUCUCAAGGGACAUCAUAGCCCUGCAACUGCCAUCUUAAUUUCAAACAUUUGUGACAGAUAUUUUGCUUCCUAAAGUAAAAAUUAUUUAAAUAUCUGCUUUAUAGAAAUCAGAAGAAUGAUCUACUUGGAUCUAAUAUUUCAGUUUUUCUAAAUUACUUUUGCCAGUCUAUUAGCAGAAAAAAUUAAAUAUACUGUUAAGUAUUUGAACCUUUGAUGAGGUGUAGCUGCCCUUCUUGCUAAUUUUCUAUAGGUCCUAAUAUCUUUUUAGAUUUAGUCCCAGUAGACAUUCAGUUAAAUUUCAACUUUCUCAGACUUUUAUGCCUGUUUUCCUAGGCCCAAGUAAUUGAUUUUUAAAAUAUUAUGAAUUCACUAUUUUUUUACUGUCCCAUAACCUGUGGGUAUAUCCUUGCAUGUUUAUAAGAUCUGUUUCUACAAAUUACAUUUUAUUUCCAUAUCUUUCUUGUUUUAUAUACUUAAAAAGCUGAGGCUAUUCUGGAUGAUUAAAACAUCCUGUCCAACAUUCACCCAAAAACCCAAAAAAAUUGAAACAAGUCCCAACAAGCUGUUGAUUUAAAACUUUAAUUAGAAUAGCAGAAUUAUUAUCAAAUGAACUAAAAUGAAAAUGAAUGAGUGGCAUCCUUGAGUAUUUAGUAGAACAUGGAACAUUUUACUCCAGCUCUGGUUAUUCCCAACCCAGACCUGUUGCAUCCAUAGUUAAAAUCAAGUGGAUGUUUUGUAACUUAUCUUAACAGGUGUGGUUUCCAAAGAAAGGGGAAACAUAGCUAAAUAAAAACAAAAAUAAAAUAUUGUGCAAAAUACCAUACAUGUAUUGCAACAUAAGAAUAUUAUUUUUAAAUUUUGUGCAUCACUCCUGUUUCUUUUUGCUUCAUCCACACACUGGGAAUCUGGUCACUGAGAUUUAUCCAUCUGCUAUCAGUUGCUCACUAGCACUUUGAAUGAAACCCACUGAAUGGAUCACCAAAUGUUACAGCUGAAUUUCAUCAAACAUUUCCGUAGGACAAAAUAUUUUACAAAAUAUUAAUCAUCUGUUUAAGUUGAUUAAGAUGGCCUGUUUAAAUAAGGAAUAAAUUUACUCCCUCUAGCUGUUGAAAAUAGUGUAAUGAGAAAAUAAAAUUUUGUAUUCUGUUGAUAUGUAAAAUGUAUAUGUUGGAUUUUUCAUUUGCUUUCCCAAUUUGAAGUAGAAAAUUGAUUAUAGAAUGAUUUUAUCUUAUGGCAGUGUUUUGUAGAAAUGAGAGAACAGAAAGUCAAGUGAAUAUCUAAUGCAAACUAAAUUCAUUAAAAAAAAAGUGGAAAAAAUUUAAAAAUUUAUUUCAAUAGGAAAAGUUUAUCAAGAAGAGUUUUCCUGAUUUUAUGAACUUCUGGUGCAAAUUUUAUUCAUCCCCUGAACUCUGUUAGUUUCCUUUCGGUACUUGAAAUGCGAAGUGCCUUACAUAUUUUGCAAGCUGCAGUAACUGACUUUAGUACCAAACUGGGCUAAUUGAGGCUGUUGGCCUUGUUUAAGUGAUUAUCUAUAUAAAGUCCAUAUGAUGCAACACACUUGUAUAAUCCAUUUUGAAUAUUUGCAUCCACUGAGCAACUGCAAUCUAACCAGAAUGAAUACGCAUCAAUUUUUCAGUGUAGGAAAAAAUACUGGCAUUUUUUUAAAGCCCAGGUAUGUGAGGUUUCCUCCCUAUGGAAAUAGGAGUCACACCACAAGUUCUCCUGGGGAAUACCUUCUGGCUGAUACUUUUGAUAAAUUUUUUGUUAACCAUGUAUGCAAGAUCUGUUACUGCAAAACAAGAGGGUAAAAAUUGUCAAAGGCAAGAAUUUAGUCACAUUUAAUUGUAGAACAAACAUGUAAUUUCACCAUAUUCUGAUCAGGCUUCACAAAUUUUGGAGAAACGCUUUGGAUUUCUGUUUUCAGAAACUGCUAUUUAGUAUUCAGAAGGUUGCUCAAUGACACUGCUUUUUUGUGCAUAGAGCUGCACCUUGCUGAUAUUUCAUCUAGGAUUAUGAUAGCUUCCUCCAAAAAAAUAGAAAACCUAAAGAAAUGUAAAUCUGUGGAAUUUGUAAGUGAUUUUUCCACAGUGUCUGUUCCAAUAGAAGAAACCUCUUUUGCUUCUACAAUCAAUAUAAAAAUUAGCAGUUAUUAUAGUAUAUUUACUUAGACUACACAGACUGCAUGUCACCCUGAAAACACAAAAUUUAUUAGAGAGAUCAGAGAAUUACACCACAGUGUUUGUAAACCCUCUGCAGUGAAAAGCACCUCAUCUUGUUCAGGCAUUAUAGGCACAUUGGACCCUCUUAAGAAGAAUGACAGCUAGAACCAAUUUUACUGGAGUUUGUUGAAAUUUAUCUUUGGUCAUGACUGGCUCUUUGUUUUACUCACAGUUUAUCUGUAUGCAAAGUGCACAAAAGAUCAAGAAUGGUAUAUGGCUUCUUACAAGGCAAAGCUAAAAUUGCAAUGCAGAAGUGCAAAUGAGGCUCAUAAAAGCUGUCAUGGAACUACAAACAAUGCAUCCAAACAAAAAAGGUGUUAUAAUCCAGAAAAAUAAUUAAAGGUCCUCAUGAAAUUCCAUACCUGAAAUAAAAGGCUACUGCAAAAGUAGUCUCAGGCUUCAGUUUCCCAAUGUUAACUUUGAAAGUAAUAAUCCGGAAUAACCAAAAACACAAGUAAUAGUCACUUUAAUAUAAGUAUUCCAGUAUAAGACUGUUCUUCUCUCCUCAAGAACCUGUUACAGAUUCUAAGACAGUUUAACUUAGGAAAUGUACAUUUCUGGAAAGCAAAGGGAGUGAGAGAUCACUUAGUAAUGAUGUAAAUAAUGCUGCACCAAUGUAUUUAAUUAGCUGAAGUAUUUCAAAUUUUCAGCUAUUUUGCUAACUAUAUAGAUUACAUGCAGAGUUUAAUUGAAGAUUAGGACAUCGAUAAAAGUGUAUUUGGCCGCAUCAUUUCUGUAACAGGAUCAAUAAAAUUACAUAGUGAGGCAGCAGGGUUCCCUGAGGUACACUGCUGUGUUCAAAUACUAGAACUAUUUAGGACACAUACAUAGCUUAAAUAUCAGCAGGAAAGCACCUCAGACAAUUUCUAAAUUUCUGCUUUUACUGUGUGUUUUGUGAUAUGACGUAAGAUACUCUGUAGGGUUUGCAAUGACAAUUUCCUCCAGUAGAUUUCAAAUUAGUACACAAAAAAGGAGGAAGAAUCUUUUUGUUUUCUUUUUUUCAGAUGUGAAAAUGGGGAAAUGAAAGGUCAGAUACCUUGCUGAAUGUGAGCAGUUAAGAUUUCACCUCAGUUUUUCAGGUGUAUAUUAAUCAAUAAAGAAUAUGUGCAACUUCAGACACAGGGAGAUCCAACCUCCAUUUCCAGAUACACAGGAAAGUUGGAUGGCUGGCUAGCAAAGGAAAUGGAGAGUAAAGCUCAUCAGCAGAGGAAGCAGCUACAGAUACCAUACUCAGCCACAACAAAGGAUCCAAGCCAUCACAGCUUUUGCCACUAGAUUUGUUUUUUUCCAAAACCCAGACUGAUCCUAUUCUGACACUGCUUUACAAAUCCAAUGCAUUUUCAGUCUGUUUUCCCCUCAUUUCCUGCUGUUUAGUUGCACAUUGAAGCUAAUCUGUGCUUUCAAAAGUUGUUAUGUGGUUGACCCAAAUAAUUAUCAGACUAUCUCAGUACCACCAAUCGUUUCAGUUGGUUUUGAAUUUGCUUUGAAAAGUGUGGCUUUCAAAUCUACUCAAGAGACUAUAACUGUUUUUGUCUAUAUUGAGUGGGUUCUGCAGCUAAGUGAGAUGACUUAGCUGCUUGAGUCUCAUAUUUAUAUAGACUUAAUCUCUAAGAAAAUGAAUGAGAGGAAUAAAUCUUAUCAUGAUUUACAUCACCUCAGUGUUGUAAUGGAUUUGAAAAGUUUAAUGAGAAUUUGAUGG
This is a non-coding RNA of Taeniopygia guttata (zebra finch), 5395 nucleotides long. The record is from RefSeq and is a predicted model, not a curated record. Lineage: Eukaryota; Metazoa; Chordata; Aves; Passeriformes; Estrildidae.